GAUCAUGGCUCAGGAUGAACGCUAGCGGCAGGCUUAACACAUGCAAGUCGAGGGGUAGAAGCAGCUUGCUGCUUUGAGACCGGCGCACGGGUGCGUAACGCGUAUGCAAUCUACCUUUUACAGAGGGAUAGCCCAGAGAAAUUUGGGAUUAAUACCUCAUAGUAUGUGAGAAUCGCAUGGUUUUCACAUUAAAGUUCCAACGGUAAAAGAUGAGCAUGCGUCCCAUUAGCUAGAUGGUAAGGUAACGGCUUACCAUGGCGACGAUGGGUAGGGGUCCUGAGAGGGAGAUCCCCCACACUGGAACUGAGACACGGUCCAGACUCCUACGGGAGGCGGCAGUGGGGAAUUUUGGACAAUGGACGCAAGUCUGAUCCAGCCAUUCCGCGUGCAGGAUGAAGGCCCUCGGGUUGUAAACCGCUUUUGUACGGAACGAAAAGGUUUCUAUUAAUACUAGGAGCUCAUGACGGUACCGUAAGAAUAAGCACCGGCUAACUACGUG
RNAcentral lists this ribosomal RNA (499 nucleotides) under uncultured bacterium. Its description in RNAcentral is "bacterial SSU rRNA". It matches the Rfam family "Bacterial small subunit ribosomal RNA", at positions 15 to 507 of the family's 1533-position model. The record is from RNAcentral.